AUUGAACGCUGGCGGCAGGCCUAACACAUGCAAGUCGAACGGAGUGGCGGACGGGUGAGUAAUACCUAGGAAUCUGCCUGGUAGAGGGGGAUAACGUCUGGAAACGGUCGCUAAUACCGCAUACUAUCAGAUGUGCCCAGUUCGGAUUAGCUAGUGGGUGGGGUAAAGGCUCACCCAGGCGACGAUCCGUAGCUGGUCUGAGAGGAUGAUCAGCCACACUGGAACUGAGACACGGUCCAGACUCCUACGGGAGGCAGCAGUGGGGAAUAUUGCACAAUGGGCGCAAGCCUGAUGCAGCCAUGCCGCGUGUAUGAAGAAGGUCUUCGGGUUGUAAAGUACUUUAAGUUGGGAGGCGUUACCGACAGAAUAAGCACCGGCUAACUCCGUGCCAGCAGCCGCGGUAAUUC
Molecule: ribosomal RNA, 407 nt
Filed under: uncultured bacterium
Lineage: Bacteria
Description: partial 16S ribosomal RNA
Rfam family: Bacterial small subunit ribosomal RNA
Source: RNAcentral